GACGAACGCUGGCGGCGUGCUUAACACAUGCAAGUCGAACGGAAAGGCCCUGCUUUUGUGGGGUGCUCGAGUGGCGAACGGGUGAGUAACACGUGAGUAACCUGCCCUUGACUUUGGGAUAACUUCAGGAAACUGGGGCUAAUACCGGAUAGGAGCUCCUGCUGCAUGGUGGGGGUUGGAAAGUUUCGGCGGUUGGGGAUGGACUCGCGGCUUAUCAGCUUGUUGGUGGGGUAGUGGCUUACCAAGGCUUUGACGGGUAGCCGGCCUGAGAGGGUGACCGGCAAGAAGGGAGGGAUGGUCGGGACGGAACUCAAGCGGGAGGCAGAGGGGGGGGGUAUUGAAGGAGGGGCGGAACGCUAGAACACGAACGCCGCGGGAGGGAGAACGGCCUAGGGGUUGGAAGCUCAUUACACCGGGGAGAAUGCGGGAGUGGCGGUAAGGGGAGAAAAGAACCCGCUUACCAAGGAC
Molecule: ribosomal RNA, 468 nt
Filed under: uncultured bacterium
Lineage: Bacteria
Description: partial 16S ribosomal RNA
Rfam family: Bacterial small subunit ribosomal RNA
Source: RNAcentral